Non-coding RNA from Thalictrum thalictroides, 85 nucleotides. NCBI's taxonomy places the organism in Eukaryota, Viridiplantae, Streptophyta, Magnoliopsida, Ranunculales, Ranunculaceae. The record is from the annotation of a GenBank genome assembly.
GUGACAGAAGAGAGUGAGCACACAUGGUUCCUUCUUUCAUGAAGUCCAUGCUUGAAGCUCUGUGUGCUCACCCUCUAUCUGUCAC